GCGUAAUGGCCUCUAGCGACCCGUCUUGGAACACGGACCAAGGAGUCUAACAUCUACGCGAGUGUUCGGGUGUCAAACCCGUGCGCGAAGUGAAAGCGAACGGAGGUGGGAACCCGCAAGGGUGCACCAUCGACCGAUCCUGAAGUCUUCGGAUGGAUUUGAGUAAGAGCGUAGCUGUUGGGACCCGAAAGAUGGUGAACUA
RNAcentral lists this ribosomal RNA (202 nucleotides) under Synchroma pusillum. Its description in RNAcentral is "partial Eukaryotic large subunit ribosomal RNA". It matches the Rfam family "Eukaryotic large subunit ribosomal RNA", at positions 629 to 833 of the family's 3401-position model. The record is from RNAcentral. Lineage: Eukaryota; Synchromophyceae; Synchromales; Synchromaceae.